Molecule: unclassified non-coding RNA, 386 nt
Filed under: uncultured Basidiomycota
Lineage: Eukaryota; Fungi; Basidiomycota
Description: sequence contains 5.8S rRNA gene, ITS2, 28S rRNA gene
Source: RNAcentral
AACGCAUAUUGCGCCUUUUGGUAUUCCGAAAGGCAUGCUUGUUUGAGUAUCAUUAAAAUCCCUCAGCAACAACAGUGCUUUGACUCCUCUCCUUACCCUUGCCAUUUUUGGCUCGAGUUGGUCUGGUUAGCAUUGAAAACUGCUGGAAUUGAGCAUGUUCCCUUUCCAAAUAUGGACAUUGGGAUGCUUGAAAUUCAGGAUUCGGCCCAAAGACGGUUUGUGCCUACAAAGCAAAUUCAUACUUGAUCCCGUCAAACGGAUUAUAUCCUUUUGCUAUGGAGGUUUCGUCAAGUUGGUGUUCGACUGAUGCAGAGAUGUGGGUGUUGUUAAAGACACACACAACAAUUCUCGAUCUCAAAUCAAGUAAGACUACCCGCUGAACUUAA